CUGAAUGGAAAUCAGGAACAAACUGCUCAUCACUAUCUGGUACCUGAGCUGCAGAGAGACGUCAAGAGUGAGUGUGGGGUGGGGGUCCUGAAUGGCAGCCCCUGGGAGACAGGACAUCAUUAUUACAGCCCUGCAGAUUAGCACCAGCCCAAAGGGGAAAACAGCCUUCCUAGAACUGACGGUAGCUUCACCCCAGGUCCUAGUGCCCUCCAUCUCUAGGCUCCUUUAGACCCUGGUGGGAAGGCUGCAAGUUCCCAGAACCAGUCUGAGCAGAUUCCGGAGUCUUUUCCUAGAUCCUUUGUCUCUAUUCCCUCCAUUUUUAAGUGAAGGCAGCCCUGACCCUUUAAAUUUACAAAGCUCCGUCAAAGAUCCCAGCAGUCACAGCUGCCAGCAGUCACAGCUGGGAUGGGCAGGCAUUACAAAGAGAGAUCCUUGUGCAUUUAGAAUCAUUUGGGAAAAUCCUGAAUCUGGGGUAGGCCCUGGAAUAUGCAUAUUAUACAACCUCCUGGGUGAAAUCUAGAAAUCUAGAGCCUUGGAAGGGAGAUAGAAUAGAGUAAAGAGGUUCCAAAGAGGGGAAAAGAGGAUGACAAUGGAGAGGAGGGGGCUGGGUACACAGGCAGAUCAAAAUGGGCCUCAUCCCUUUGAUGUGCAGUUAGGACAGAAAGGGCUUCCUAAACCCUCAGGUCUGAGGAGCAGCCCAGGGUGCCAGUGUGGGCGGAGCUGGGUUUAGGGAUUAGGAAACAAAGCUAAAUUAGAACAGCCGCUCCUGCAGGGCCAACCUGGAUAUCCAGGCUUUGAUUUCUACUGCUUAUCCUGGUCUCAUCAACUCCUUCAGGUGGGCUUACAGCUGAGGACCUUCCCCUGACCCGAGCCUACCCACCUCUGUUUCUCUUUUAUAGAUUACAGCAAGUAGGAGAGGGGCAGACACCCAGAAUGUCCGAGUCCAGGAAAAGAAUGGCUCAAAGGCUGGUGGCAGGCCACAGAGUGGGCCUGGAAGCAAGAACUGAAGAGAUCUAACCAACCAGCCCUUCUCUCUCCCUGAGGGCUCCCCCUCCUCAGCACCAGGAGUUCUGGACCAGGGUGAGGGGAUGGGCACCCCCCGAAGCCAGCUGCCUGCAUCAGGAACAGAAACUCUUUUGCCAGCCCCAGGACCUGACCGCCCCUGAGGCUUCUAAGGGCUUUCCGGCUGCAGCUAUACAUUUAUUUCUCCUGUUGGUUCUCAGCUCUCCUGUUGGUGACCCUAGCCCAGAUUUGUCUGGUAAUUGACAGCCACAGUUGCUAGUUUAUCAUCUGGAGCCAGGGAGCCCACAGCCCAGGAAAUGAUGCUUCUAGAUGAAGACUCUGCCUUCAUCUCACUCCGUGGGGCCCAGGUGCCUUGGUGGGGAAAAGCAGGACAGGAAAAGGAAGGAGGGGAAAAGGAGGAGGAAUAUUAGGGUGAGGCAUGCUGAGAGGACACAAUACCUCACCAGAUGGGGGACCAGACAUUCAGGUGUUUGCACAUAUGCCUUACACUUUAAUUUUCCUAAGCUUUUUCUGAUGUUCUUUUUUUACAUUUUCCAGCAUUCCUUGAAGUAGGUAUUUUUAGUUUCAUUUUAUAGUUGAACACCCUGAAGUUCAGAGAGCAAUUUGCCUUGUGUCAGCUAGGGGUGGGAGAGGGGACAAACGCCCCUCCCCCAACCCCCCCAACCCCCAGUUGCCUGCCUGCUUCUGCCCAGCUCUGGGGCUCGCAGGGGCAAAAGCAAGUUAUGCUUACCAGGCUGAUCCCUAGUCCUCAGACACCCGGACCCCACCUGACUCUCGCCUCCCUGACUUUUCCUUUUUAUUUUCUUUUGUCCCCGCUAAAAGUCCCACUUGAAUGCUAGGAAAUACCUGUUAGGGUCUUGUUAAUUGUUUUUCUUCUUUGGGGGUGGUUCAGCAUUUUCUUAAAUUGCUCAUCAGACAUGAAUGUCUCCCACAAAAGGAAAACUGAUGGGGGGUUGGGGGGAAGCAUUUUGCUCCCUAGAA
Non-coding RNA from Manis javanica (Malayan pangolin), 2004 nucleotides. The record is from RefSeq and is a predicted model, not a curated record. NCBI's taxonomy places the organism in Eukaryota, Metazoa, Chordata, Mammalia, Pholidota, Manidae.